This 465-nucleotide ribosomal RNA is filed under the name uncultured bacterium. RNAcentral describes it as "partial 16S ribosomal RNA". It matches the Rfam family "Bacterial small subunit ribosomal RNA", at positions 28 to 507 of the family's 1533-position model. The record is from RNAcentral.
GACGAACGCUGGCGGCGUGCUUAACACAUGCAAGUCGAACGGAAAGGCCCCCUUGUGGGGUACUCGAGUGGCGAACGGGUGAGUAACACGUGAGUAACCUACCCUUGACUUUGGGAUAACUUCAGGAAACUGGGGCUAAUACCGGAUAGGAGCUCCUGCUGCAUGGUGGGGGUUGGAAAGUUUCGGCGGUUGGGGAUGGACUCGCGGCUUAUCAGCUUGUUGGUGGGGUAGUGGCUCACCAAGGCUUUGACGGGUAGCCGGCCUGAGAGGGUGACCGGCCACAUUGGGACUGAGAUACGGCCCAGACUCCUACGGGAGGCAGCAGUGGGGAAUACUGCACAAUGGGCGGAAGCCUGAUGCAGCAACGCCGCGUGCGGGAUGACGGCCUUCGGGUUGUAAACCGCUUUCGCCUGUGACGAAGCGUGAGUGACGGUAAUGGGUAAAGAAGCACCGGCUAACUACGUG